CCUACGGGUGGCAGCAGUGGGGAAUAUUGGGCAAUGGGCGCAAGCCUGACCCAGCAACGCCGCGUGAAGGAUGAAGGCUUUCGGGUUGUAAACUUCUUUUAAGAGGGAAGAGAAGAAGACGAUACCUCUUGAAUAAGCCACAGCUAACUACGUGCCAGCAGCCGCGGUCAUACGUAGGUCGCAAGCGUUGUCCGGAGUUACUGGGUGUAAAGGGCGAGCAGCCGUGAAGGCAAGUCAGAUGUGAAAUCCCGCGGCUCAACCGCGGAACUGCAUUUGAAACUGUUUUUCUUGAGUACCGGAGAGGUAAUCGGAAUGCCUGGUGUAGCGGUGAAAUGCGUAGAUAUAAGGAAGAACACCAGUGGCGAAGGCGGAUGACUGGACGGCAACUGACGGUGAGGCGCGAAAGCGUGGGGAGCAAACAGGAUUAGAUACCCUUGUAGUC
RNAcentral lists this ribosomal RNA (442 nucleotides) under uncultured bacterium. RNAcentral's name for it is "partial 16S ribosomal RNA". It matches the Rfam family "Bacterial small subunit ribosomal RNA", at positions 338 to 795 of the family's 1533-position model. The record is from RNAcentral.